Molecule: ribosomal RNA, 468 nt
Filed under: uncultured bacterium
Lineage: Bacteria
Description: partial 16S ribosomal RNA
Rfam family: Bacterial small subunit ribosomal RNA
Source: RNAcentral
GACGAACGCUGGCGGCGUGCUUAACACAUGCAAGUCGAACGGAAAGGCCCUGCCUUUGUGGGGUGCUCGAGUGGCGAACGGGUGAGUAACCCGUGAGUAACCUGCCCUUGACUUUGGGAUAACUUAAGGUAACUGGGUCUAAUACCGGAUCGGAGCUCCUGAUGCAUGGUGGGGGUUGGAAAGUUUCGGCGGUUGGGGCUGGACUGGCGGCUUAUCAGCUUGUUGGUGGGGUAGUGGCUGACCAAGGCUUUGACGGGUAGUCGGCAUGAGAGGGUGAACAGCCACAAGGGGACUAAGAGACGGCGCAGACGGCUACGGUAGGCAGCAGGGGGAAAUAUGGCACAAUGGGCGGACGUCUGAUGCAGCAACGCCGCGUGUGGGAUGACGGCCUUCGGGUUGUAAACCGCUUUCGCCUGUGACGAAGCGUGAGUGACGGUAAUGGGUAAAUAAGCACCGGCUAACUACGUG